CAUGUUUGAAUGGCCAUGACA
This 21-nucleotide microRNA is filed under the name Schmidtea mediterranea. RNAcentral describes it as "sme-miR-751". Its record names the gene sme-miR-751. Lineage: Eukaryota; Metazoa; Platyhelminthes; Tricladida; Dugesiidae. The record is from miRBase by way of RNAcentral.